Molecule: long non-coding RNA, 1271 nt
Organism: Esox lucius (northern pike)
Lineage: Eukaryota; Metazoa; Chordata; Actinopteri; Esociformes; Esocidae
Source: Ensembl
UGACUAAUCUCAGUAAUAUAUGUAUUCAACAUUUCUAUAAAGUUAGCUGUCUUUUGAUUCAGGGACCAUGUAUCCCAUAUCAAAAAUAAUCUUUAUCUUUGGCUAAUUACUAGCCCAAUAAUGUACUGUAAUGUAUUGUAGCCAAACCUACAUCUGAGGAUCUUGCUUUUUAGAGGUCUACUGGCUCUAGCAGUUAAAACCGCGAAGUACUCUAUCUAAACCUAAACAGAUUUUCAUUUACUAUAGAAUUCAAGAAACACAGCCUUGUACUUAACAUUUACAUCUGACCAUAUGUUUCACUUGCAACAUUGUUCUGGCAACCUUUCAUUGCACAAGGUCUGAGGAUGCUAGAUCUAUCAUGAUAAACCAGGUGGUAUAAAUUCUGAAUGGCCAUUGGCUGAAACCUGUGGUAUAUGUAAGCAAUGAGGCACAAGUUAGUGUUUUAUGUGGCCAAUACACCACAGUUAAGAGCUUUUCUUAGGCAUGAUUUCUCGAUGAGUUCCUAGACAGGUUUGGUAUAUUGGAAAUGUCUCUGAGAUACCUUGUUCUUAAACAGGUUACCAACGCAAUUAGAACAGUAAAAAGUGAUUUGAAGCCAUUCUUGUGGUGUACAGUCUCCUAUACCACGGCUAUCAGUAUUCAGGAUUCAUAUCCCUGGUUUAUAAGAGACUGUAUACCACUUAUAUUUCAUCACAUACUUUUUUACUUUUCUAAUUGGUCUGUUAACUGGUUCAUUAUACAUGUAGUAAUAAGGCAUCUCGGGUUGGUCAUAUAUUGAUAAUAUACAACAGCUAAGUGCUAUGUCCUGGCAUUCAGCAAGGCAGUGUGCCUUAACAGCUCUUGGCUGUUUUAUAUUGGCCAUAUACCACAGAUUUUUGUGGCUCAUUACUUAAUUAGAACAGGUGGUCACAGUAAACUAUUGCUGUGUAAUAGAAAUAUGACUCUGUAAACCCUAAUGCUAUAGGUGGUGGAAAUGUAACGGUUGUAUUGUUAUUGCUUUUAGAUUAUAUGAAAGUAUACUUCCAAAGGUUUCCAAAACUGAAUCACAAGCAAGGAUCAUUAACAUGGUGACAAAGCAUUAGAGAUUUUGUACAAUGUCUUACACUUUUGUCAAUGCAUCAACUGAGAACCAAUGAGGGAGCCCUCGUUAGUGAAUGAGAGCUACUGUGGCUGUGUGCUUGGUGAGGAUCUGGUAUGAACCUGAAGCCUACCUAACAUUGCCUUUAUGCUCAAUUGAUUAUUUUUGGUUUCUGCAAGGUGGAGGAGAGGAA